CGCAAAUUACCCAAUCCUGACUCAGGGAGGUAGUGACAAGAAAUAACAACACUGGAAAUUCUUUUUCUAGUGAUUGGAAUGAUGGGAAUCCAAACCCCUUUCAGAGUAACAAUUGGAGGGCAAGUCUGGUGCCAGCAGCCGCGGUAAUUCCAGCUCCAAUAGCGUAUAUUAAAGUUGUUGCAGUUAAAAAGCUCGUAGUUGGAUAUCUGCUGGAAGCAGCCAGUCCGCCCUUUGUGGGUGUGCACUUGGUGAAUUCUGGCAUCCUCCUGAUUGGUGUCAUCAUCACUUCAUUGUGUUGGUGGCAGCUGUCAGGACCGUUACUUUGAGAAAAUUAGAGUGUUUCAAGCAGGCUUGUUGCCUUGAAUACUGCAGCAUGGAAUAACAAGAUAGGAUUUCGGUUCUAUUUUGUUGGUUUCUAGGACUGAAGUAAUGAUUAAUAGGGACAGUUGGGGGCAUUCGUAUUUAACUGUCAGAGGUGAAAUUCUUAGAUUUGUUAAAGACGAACUACUGCGAAAGCAUUUGCCAAAGAUGUUUUCAUUAAUCAAGAACGAAAGUUAGGGGCUCGAAGACGAU
Molecule: ribosomal RNA, 573 nt
Filed under: Sarcocystis sp. Fu 12-794
Lineage: Eukaryota; Apicomplexa; Conoidasida; Eucoccidiorida; Sarcocystidae
Also listed under: 1 other name
Description: SSU rRNA
Rfam family: Eukaryotic small subunit ribosomal RNA
Source: RNAcentral